GAAAUUUAUGAAAGCAUCUAUAUUCUUUGGGUUUCCUAGGUGGCAUGGUGGUAAAAAACUUGCCUGCCAAUGCAGGAGACCGAGGAGACGUGGGUUCGAUCCCUGGGUCAGGAAGAUGCCCUGGAGAAGGACAUGGCAACCCACUCCAGUAUUCUUGCCUGGAGAAUCCCACAGACAAAGGAGCCUGGCAGGCUACCGUUCAUGGGGUCACAGAGAGUCAGACACAUACACAGACUGUGAAGUAUAAAUUUUAUAGGCAUGUACGUACCUUCCGUAUGUAAUUUACUAAAGCUAUAUUUUAAAAUUCUGUAGUUAUGUACAUGCACUUAGAAUUGUCUAACCAUCAUGUACAAGUAAUAUCCAGACAUACAUAAUUUACUAGAGUUAUAUUUUGAAAUUCCAUACUUCUGUACGUGCACUUAGAACUCUCCGUCUAACCAUCAGUAAGAAGCUCAGCAUCCUGUCUUCUUUCUUCGUUUUUAUCAUUACAAAAAAAAAAAAAAAAAAGUGUCUGCUGUGUUAAAUGUUAGUUGGUUUGAUCACCCCAGGAUCAGACCCGCAUCUCCUGCAUCGGAAGGUGGUGUCUUUACAGCGGAGCUACCAGGGAAGCCCUCGCCUCACGCUUGUUGGGAAGAUCCCCUAGAGAAGGAACUGGCAACCCACUCGGGUACUCUUGCCUGGAAAAUCUCAUGGACGGAGGAGAAGCCUGGGCCUCCGAAGGGACAGAGAAACCCUGGUCGUCCUGGACUCUUCCGUUCCUCCUGUCUUCCAAGUAGAAGACAAGAUGCCGUGAGCAGAUUCCCUGCGUGGACCACGGGCGUGGCCGCGACUCUGAUGUGGCUGGAAGCAAGAUCCAAUGCCUGAGGGUCCCUGGAUGGGCCCUCCUUUGCGAAACCGGCAUGCCAUCCCAGGGGUGCAGGGUGGAGGGGGGACCCCCUGCGAGGAUCCAGCCCAUCUCCCCAUCACCCGUCUUGCGAAGCCAUCACGAGGCGGUCAGGACCCACGAGCCGGUGUCAACCUUCCCCCGGGGCGGGGGGCCAUGCUGGCAUCUACAACCUCCAUCCAUCCCCCCGGGGUGGGGGCGUUCCCACCCAGCCCCGCCCACCUGGCCCGUGCCUCCUGGGGAGUUUCAUCCGCCUCGCCCCCGCGCGCAGUGAUAACUCUCCGGGUGGGGACCCUGCCGCCCAGCGGGGCCUCCCACGGGAAGGCUCUCCGCUUACUCCCGGCUUGACGCGUCCGGAGGACAAGCAGCUUCAGAUCGCACCAUCACCGUUUCCGGCAGGCGCCGCUGCGGUCCGACCCUCCUCACGUCUCAGAUGCAGCCCCGUUCGUCUUGACAAACGCGACGCGCGCCCGGAGCUCUUCGGCUUCGUCCCGUACGUGCAGGAGAAAGACGCCCAAGGGAUCCCAGCUGCUCUCCUUGCCGACGCUCCCCACUCUGAGGGGUUUAACCCGUCUGCCGCGAGAAGACACCCGGAUGGGGAAGAAAAGAGAGUGACCCUGGAAAAUACAAGAUGCUGGGGACUUUGCAACCGGGACAAGAGGGUUCUGGGACCUCCCCCAAAACGCACCCGGUAGCGUCGUCUCUCUCUGGGACUCUCAAGGAUGCCGCAGUGAUCUUUCCACGUUGCACCAUGGAUAAGACUUGUGGGAGCCCUUCCAGGCAGCCACGGAGGACUCCGGAGCAUUUAUUGUUAUUAUUUUUUUUCCUGUCUGCUCUGUUUAAACCGAGAGGGAUCCAGGUUGACGGUGGAGGUGGGCCCCCCGCCCUGGGGGGUGCGUGUGUGUCUGUGAAUGUCCCCGCCGAUGCCGACCCCCAGCCCCCACUGACCCGUUCUCAAGCUGCUGAUGAGCGUUUUCUACGUCUACCCCCCACCCACCCCCCGCCCCCCAAGCGCUCCGUCUUUCUGUCCCGCGGGUGUGGUCUGUGGCGCCUCUGUUUUAUCUCGUCUCGUGGCUUCUGCCUGCCCCCUGCGUGGAGACGGGCAAUAAAGAGAAAAGCUAUUCCAGACAUUAUGGCUAUUCCAGAAAAUAAAAUAUUUUUGAAACCGCA
This is a long non-coding RNA of Bos taurus (domestic cattle), 2053 nucleotides long. NCBI's taxonomy places the organism in Eukaryota, Metazoa, Chordata, Mammalia, Artiodactyla, Bovidae. The record is from Ensembl.